GCGGCAGUAGCUCAACUGGUAGAGCACCUCGUUGCCGACGAGGAGGAGCGGGUUCGAGUCCCGCCUGCCGCUCCA
Molecule: transfer RNA, 75 nt
Filed under: Curtobacterium sp. MCBD17_040
Lineage: Bacteria; Bacillati; Actinomycetota; Actinomycetes; Micrococcales; Microbacteriaceae
Description: tRNA-Gly
Rfam family: tRNA
About the family: Transfer RNA (tRNA) molecules are approximately 80 nucleotides in length.
Source: RNAcentral